GAAACUGGUAAACAAUAUCCUUUUGUAAGCAUGUAUUAUUAAAAUGAAUGCUUCAAUUUAACAUUUCGAAGUCUUUUCAAAGUAUUAAAGUAAGUAUAAACUAUUCCUGCUUAACAAAACGACUAUCAUGAACAAAUGCAAAAAAAAAAAAGCAUAAGAACGAUAACUUUUAUUAUUAGAAGAUAAAUUUUAUUACCCUAAUAAACAAAAUAAAUUGAUUAGGCAAUUAGGGAUUGACAAAAGAUAUCAAGCGUCGAGUAUGUUUUAACAAAAAAACAAUUUCAAUAAUUAAAUGACAAGCCUCUUCAGGUGUUAUUUUUAUGCUUUUAAAUGACCCAAAAUGCAGAAUUAUUGUUUUGAUAAAUUGGGAACAAUUUUAUCGAUACAAAUUUAGAGCAAAAUUGGUAAAUACAUUAAAUUUGUCUCGAGUCAUUUUCAAAGUUAAAUAUAACAUUUCAUUUUCAAUGACUUCAGCCUUGUCAGAAGAUUUCAACAUAGUCUCCCAUCCUUCUCGGUCAAGAAUCCAUACAGCAGAAUCUAAUUCAGCUACAACUGUGGCAUUAUAGCAUGUCUUACUGAAGAAUGGAAGUUCUCCAACAACGCACAAACAUGUGAUAUUUUCAGAUAAGCUUUCUCUAUCCAUUUGGUACGAAGCCUUAACCAUCCCAGUUUCCAAAAUAACAAGUUUUGAAGGUGUAUCACCUUUUCUCCAUAAUAAGUCUCCUUUUCUCAAGAACGCCUUUUUAAAGAAUGGACAGAGCCCAAGCCAAAAAUCUUCUCGCUUAGUGGUAAUCUCUCCAAACACUUGCAUAAGUAAUGGGAAAGGUUGUUCGUAUUUGGCGUACUUUUCGAAUUUCGAUAACUCCUUUGUUUCAGCUUUGACCGAUGACAUAGCAACUUGCCUUAGCAAAUCGUGUCUGGGUGAUGGUGAAAAGGUUUCAGCCAUUGAAAUGUUUUGUUUGUGUUUUCCGGGCACAGCUAAAGUAUGUGAAUACCCUGCCUUGUGUAAAAGUUUAGUGCGAUACACGUCGUAGUCAUCUAAUAACAUGUUUUCACAGUAUUCCAAUGAAGAGUUGACAUCUUCAAAGACCUGACAACCGCAAUUAUCAUCGCCGCCAAAGCACAUAGUAGUCAAUGUUUUGAAGGAAGACCGAGUCUCAUCCAACCCACAGACGCAUAGCUGUACAUUCAUAGUCGCUAACAUACGACGAAUGCGUAGAAAUGCUUGGACGACACUAAAAUCUGCUCCAUUAACAAGACUAAAAUCGAUAAUAAGGAAUCUAAGCGGAUUAUUUGAGACAUUCAGCUCCUCAAUCAAUCCAGCAAUGUUUUUCUCAACACCGUUGAUAGUACCGAAGAAUAAGAAACCAGAGAGUUUACACACUUGGAUUUGUCUUCCAAUUUCAUUUAAGAAUCGUUGUUGAUUCAUAGGACGACGUACCGUAGAACGAACAAUACCACCUGAAUAAAUUCCACGUAAAGCGGAACGGCUUGAAGCCUGAAUUACAAAGAAAACACAUGCCAUAAUGAUGCCAAUAACAAUACCAACAACGAAAUCCACAACAGUCAUGGUGAAAACAAUUGCACAAAUAGUAAAAUAUUCGAUUUUAGUGGUUAUACCAAUGGGAUCCCAUAAAGAUUCUUUUAGAAGUUCAAUACCGAGUAAAUAAAUUAGGCACCCGACAGUCCAAACAGGGAUAUAGGCAAUAAUUCCAGGACCUAUAACUAAAAGGGCUACAGUUGCCAAAGCUAGCAUAAUACCUGCCAAGCGAUUGUUACCUCCAGAUCGAAUAAACAUUAAAGAAUUCGUAUAUGUCAUGUAAUUUUGAAUGCUGCCUACAGCGCCAGAUAAUGUAUUGCUGACUCCAUGAGCAAUUAGUUCUUUGUCAGUGUCUACAAAGUCGAGCCCAAGUGAAAUAGCUAGCGCUGGAACGUUUAUAGGAACAUGCAAAAUUCCAAAAAAUGUUAAAGCACACAUUUCAGGAACAGUGGCUAACAAUGCGCUCCAAUCAGUAUCACGUAAACUAAACAAGCUAUAAAAAUGAUACCAAGGUACGUUAGUCUCAGUUGAAGAGAAAACCCAUCCGGUCUCACGUAAAUACUCUAGACUCAUGCCUGGUAUUGCCCAAACUAAAACGUAAAAGAUAGCCGGGGCAAUAACAAAAAACGAAGGAAUGAGGAAUGGAUGCGGCCACCUCUGUUGAGCAAAUUCCAAAGCGCUUGAGAGAAAAAGAGGAAUUGACCAUUUUGCGAACGUCAUAGGCUGAAAAAGAGCAGAUAGGGAAGCCCAAUUAAAUGAAACACUUCCUUCUAACCUAGAAGACACUUCAACGGCCGUAAGAACAAGAAAGCUUCCAACACCACCUAUACAACCAAGCAAGAUAUGUCUAGGAAAAAACUCAAUAAGCCUACCAAGUCGGAGGAUGCCAAGAAUAAAAAACACCAAUCCAGUAAGGAUACUGGAUAAACAAUACGCCAAAAUUGUAGUUGCAAUAACGGACUUUGGGUUGUCUUCACCAACACGAUUCAGGAUGGUGAAAGCGAUCUGAUGGAAAAAUGGAAUUACCUCAAUCAUCUCUGAGCCCACACUUCCUUUAAAAAAGGAGCCACCAAGAGAAUAUACUAAUUGUGAUACAACACAACUUACGUAGUAAAUAGCAAGGCCAUCGGCCCCCAAAUUUUUGAAAAGAGGGUCGGAGAUUGGGAAUAAAAUAAGGCCAUAAGAGAGAGCAUCCAAAAUAUUAAGGAGUAAUCCAAUGAUGACAGCAGGUAUAUUAAGGAUAAAUAAGAUGGGACCUUUAUCAUCGAAGAAGAAUUGAUAGAUCUUGCUUAGCGAAAUGCGACCUCUCAGUUUUUUAGAGGGAGCGUUCAGUGACUGGAAAGGCAGUACCUGAUUCUGAGCAGGUGGCAGUUGAGAAGAAUGUUCUUCACGUUCCGGAAGCAAAGGUCUUGUCUCAUUGAUUUCAGAGGGGCGAUAAUUAAAGUCAUUGCGAGAAGUGGAGGCUAGAGAAUGUGCACGUUGGUACGAGCUUAUAGACAUAUAGUCAUAAUUGGAAACAUCAUCGUUCGUUUCUGGAGAAUUUGAAGGAAGAGUUUCGGGAUCCACUUCGACAGAAGCCAACCGAGCUGACAGAAGAUGAAUGUCAUUAGUAUCUCUAAAGCUUUGACUUAGGAACGAAGAGUCUGGGACCGACCCGUUGUCAAUACUAGGAUAAAGCAAACUUCUUUUCUGAUUAAGGCUAUGGGUGGG
RNAcentral lists this long non-coding RNA (3250 nucleotides) under Schizosaccharomyces pombe (fission yeast). Lineage: Eukaryota; Fungi; Ascomycota; Schizosaccharomycetes; Schizosaccharomycetales; Schizosaccharomycetaceae. The record is from RNAcentral.